GACGAACGCUGGCGGCGUGCUUAACACAUGCAAGUCGAACGGACAACCCCGCUUGUGGGGGGUUUAGCGGUGAACGGGUGAGUAAGACGUACGCGACCAUCCCCCACCUCUGGGACAGCUAUAAGAACUUGAGACCGGUACCGGCACUGACUGCUGUCCGCAUGCUCUGGGGGCGGUAGGAAUUAGCGGCUGUGGAUGGGCCCGUGGCUGAUCAGCUUGUUGGUGGGGUAGUGGCUGACCAAGGCGACGACGGGUAGCCGGCCUGAGAGGGUGACCGGCGACACUGGGACUGAGACACGGCCCAGACGCCUACGGGAGGCAGCAGGGGGGAAUAUUGCGCAAUGGGCGAAAGCCUGACGCAGCGACGCCGCGUGGGGGAUGACGGCCUUCGGGUUGUAAACCUCUGUCAGCGGGGACGAAGCGAAAGUGACGGUACCUGCAGAAGAAGCACCGGCUAACUACGUG
RNAcentral lists this ribosomal RNA (465 nucleotides) under uncultured bacterium. RNAcentral describes it as "partial 16S ribosomal RNA". It matches the Rfam family "Bacterial small subunit ribosomal RNA", at positions 28 to 507 of the family's 1533-position model. The record is from RNAcentral.